AGGAAUACCGGUGGCGAAGGCGGCCCCCUGGACGAAGACUGACGCUCAGGUGCGAAAGCGUGGGGAGCAAACAGGAUUAGAUACCCUGGUAGUCCACGCCGUAAACGAUGUCGACUUGGAGGUUGUGCCCUUGAGGCGUGGCUUCCGGAGCUAACGCGUUAAGUCGACCGCCUGGGGAGUACGGCCGCAAGGUUAAAACUCAAAUGAAUUGACGGGGGCCCGCACAAGCGGUGGAGCAUGUGGUUUAAUUCGAUGCAACGCGAAGAACC
RNAcentral lists this ribosomal RNA (269 nucleotides) under Escherichia coli. RNAcentral describes it as "partial 16S ribosomal RNA". It matches the Rfam family "Bacterial small subunit ribosomal RNA", at positions 702 to 970 of the family's 1533-position model. The record is from RNAcentral. Lineage: Bacteria; Pseudomonadati; Pseudomonadota; Gammaproteobacteria; Enterobacterales; Enterobacteriaceae.